Molecule: ribosomal RNA, 443 nt
Filed under: uncultured bacterium
Lineage: Bacteria
Description: bacterial SSU rRNA
Rfam family: Bacterial small subunit ribosomal RNA
Source: RNAcentral
CCUACGGGGGGCAGCAGUGGGGAAUUUUCCGCAAUGGGCGAAAGCCUGACGGAGCAAGACCGCGUGGGGGAAGAAGGCUCUUGGGUUGUAAACUCCUUUUCUCUGGGAAGAACAAAAUGACGGUACCAGAGGAAUCAGCAUCGGCUAACUCCGUGCCAGCAGCCGCGGUAAGACGGAGGAUGCAAGCGUUAUCCGGAAUGAUUGGGCGUAAAGCGUCCGCAGGUGGCAGUUCAAGUCUGCUGUCAAAGACCGGGGCUCAACCUCGGAAAGGCAGUGGAAACUGAACAGCUAGAGUAUGGUAGGGGCAAAGGGAAUUCCUGGUGUAGCGGUGAAAUGCGUAGAGAUCAGGAAGAACAUCGGUGGCGAAGGCGCUUUGCUGGACCAUAACUGACACUCAGGGACGAAAGCUAGGGGAGCGAAUGGGAUUAGAUACCCCUGUAGUC